CACUGUUUGACCCCACAGUGCUCUCUGGAUGUAGGUAAACUACAACUUCCAAACUCAAGGUCAAUGCCCACCAAAUCCUUCCAGUAUUUUCUGUUGGUCAUGGGAGUUCUGUGUGCCAAGAUUGGUUCAAGUCCAUCAUUGGUGGAGUUCAGAAUGCUCUUCGAUUGUAGGUGAACUAUCAAUCUCAGCAAACUGCAACUCCCAAAUGACAAAAUCAACCUCCCCCCUAACCCUAACCCUAACCCUAACCCUAACCCACCACAUUUGGGCAUAUUGAGUAUCUAUGCCAAGUUUGGUCCAGAUCCAUCCAUUGCAUGAAUCCACAGUGAUCUCUGGAUGUAGGUGAACUACAACUCCCAAACUCAAGGUCAAUGCCCACCUAACCGUUCCAGUAUUUUCUGUUGGUCAUGGGAGUUCUGUGUGCCAAGUUUGGUUCAAUUCCAUCAUUGGUGGAGUUCAGAAUGCUCUUUGAUUGUAGGUGAACUAUAAAUCCCAGCAAACUACAACUCCCAAAUGACAAAA
Non-coding RNA from Anolis sagrei ordinatus, 522 nucleotides. The record is from RefSeq and is a predicted model, not a curated record. Lineage: Eukaryota; Metazoa; Chordata; Lepidosauria; Squamata; Anolidae.